This is a long non-coding RNA of Anastrepha obliqua, 161 nucleotides long. RefSeq lists it as uncharacterized. NCBI's taxonomy places the organism in Eukaryota, Metazoa, Arthropoda, Insecta, Diptera, Tephritidae. The record is from RefSeq and is a predicted model, not a curated record. The transcript has 3 exons.
AGAAAAACAGGCAGAUGCACUAAAGAUGCUAGCCCAGUCGAGUGUAGAAACCGUAGAAGUCGCGAAACAACAAGCAGAUGCUUUAAAGAUCUUAGCCGAAAGCAGCUCUGCAAGUGCCCAGGCGAAUAAAAUGAUGGCGGAGGCAAUAGCCGUAUUGGGGA